RNAcentral lists this ribosomal RNA (400 nucleotides) under Staphylococcus sp. DHM3. RNAcentral's name for it is "bacterial SSU rRNA". It matches the Rfam family "Bacterial small subunit ribosomal RNA", at positions 995 to 1394 of the family's 1533-position model. Lineage: Bacteria; Bacillati; Bacillota; Bacilli; Caryophanales; Staphylococcaceae. The record is from RNAcentral.
GGCCUCUAGAGAUAGAGCCUUCCCCUUCGGGGGACAAAGUGACAGGUGGUGCAUGGUUGUCGUCAGCUCGUGUCGUGAGAUGUUGGGUUAAGUCCCGCAACGAGCGCAACCCUUAAGCUUAGUUGCCAUCAUUAAGUUGGGCACUCUAAGUUGACUGCCGGUGACAAACCGGAGGAAGGUGGGGAUGACGUCAAAUCAUCAUGCCCCUUAUGAUUUGGGCUACACACGUGCUACAAUGGACAAUACAAAGGGCAGCGAAACCGCGAGGUCAAGCAAAUCCCAUAAAGUUGUUCUCAGUUCGGAUUGUAGUCUGCAACUCGACUACAUGAAGCUGGAAUCGCUAGUAAUCGUAGAUCAGCAUGCUACGGUGAAUACGUUCCCGGGUCUUGUACACACCGAA